GUGCUCACUUCAGCAGCACACACACUAAAAUUGGAAUGAUACAUUGAUGGCAAGCGUGGCCCCUGUGUCAAGGAUGACACACAAUUUUGUGAAGCAUCCUAUAUUUAA
Molecule: non-coding RNA, 108 nt
Organism: Pteropus alecto (black flying fox)
Lineage: Eukaryota; Metazoa; Chordata; Mammalia; Chiroptera; Pteropodidae
Source: Rfam